UGACACACAACAUUCAAUUAUUGGGCAAAAAAAAUGGAAUGUGUAAAUAAGCCUUAAACCCCUCCUAUCUCCCAGGAAUCUUUGCGGGCGUGGUUGAGCGAUCGUAUCAUACGAGAACUUAAAAAUCGACCGCGAAUUUGAACAGUGUUAUCAAUCCACAGAAAUCUGAAACCAUCUUAGCAUCGUAAGCUUUCUAUCAUCACCUUGAUAUUCGUAAUCAAAUUUCUUAUAACUUUGGACAAAAACUUUCGAACAAACUCGAAUGUAGAAUGGAUUUUCAAGGCCUUGUUUUGGUCUUGUGAUGGCCGAGUCAAGUUCUUCAGAGAAGCGUCCUCCUAAAAAGAAAGGCGGGCGAUCGAAAAGACAAGAAAAGCUCAAAAGUUAUUUAUCAAAAGGAAUCUAUUAGAGACCUUUGGAGAGCACGUAAGAUUUCCAAGGGCUUCCAACGACUGACCGACAACGAGUUUGCCGAAGUUUUACUCCAUUCAUGUCCUUUGAAUCCUCAACACUCUUUCGCUGAGGGAAUCACAGCAGAAGUCGGAUCAACAAACCUGUUGACUUUCCGUCCUCAGCAAGGCAUCAAAUGUUAAGGACUGUGAAGCCC
Long non-coding RNA from Nematostella vectensis (starlet sea anemone), 604 nucleotides. RefSeq lists it as uncharacterized. NCBI's taxonomy places the organism in Eukaryota, Metazoa, Cnidaria, Anthozoa, Actiniaria, Edwardsiidae. The transcript has 3 exons. The record is from RefSeq and is a predicted model, not a curated record.